GAUGAAGAACGUAGCGAAAUGCGAUACGUAGUGUGAAUUGCAGAAUCCAGUGAAUCAUCGAAUCUUUGAACGCACAUUGCGCCCCCUGGUAUUCCGGGGGGCAUGCCUGUCCGAGCGUCAUUGCUGCCCUCAAGCACGGCUUGUGUGUUGGGCCUCCGUCCUCCUCCCGGGGGACGGGCCCGAAAGGCAGCGGCGGCACCGCGUCCGGUCCUCGAGCGUAUGGGGCUUCGUCACCCGCUCUUGUAGGCCCGGCCGGCGCUUGCCGACACAUCAAUCUUUUUUCCAGGUUGACCUCGGAUCAGGUAGGGAUACCCGCUGAACUUAAGCAUAUCAAUAAGCGGAGGA
This 345-nucleotide unclassified non-coding RNA is filed under the name soil metagenome. Its description in RNAcentral is "partial contains 5.8S ribosomal RNA, internal transcribed spacer 2, and large subunit ribosomal RNA". The stretch from base 1 to 120 matches the Rfam family "5.8S ribosomal RNA", at positions 35 to 154 of the family's 154-position model. The record is from RNAcentral.